This 220-nucleotide long non-coding RNA is filed under the name Homo sapiens (human). RNAcentral's name for it is "HSALNT0119680". Lineage: Eukaryota; Metazoa; Chordata; Mammalia; Primates; Hominidae. The record is from RNAcentral.
AAAAUACAGACUCCAUUGUGAACAAAGAACAGGCAUCUGCAUACCCAUAGUAGUGCUAUUUGUACACAAUUACCAAUUUUAUAUGCACAAUGAUCAAUUACUUGUUUCUGCCUGCAAAUUUUACAGAAACAGAAAUCUAUCUUCUUACUCUAAAAAAAUAUAGUUAUCUGGGUGUGAAGGGAGCCAAAAGAGUACUCCUUUACUACAUCUUCCUCAAGAG